CAUCUGUAUGUGGUCCAGAUUCCAACUGCACAAAUGAAAUUGGAAAUUAUAAUUGCUCAUGUCUGGAUGGAUUCACUGUAACAAACUCAAGUCUCCCCAUCAGCAUCAAUAGCACAUGUAGAGAUGUGAAUGAAUGUGUUGAGAUAUCAGAUGUCUGUGGUCCAAAACUCAAUCUGCAACAACACUGUUGGGAGUUACAAUUGCUGGUGCAUGAGUGGAUAUAAUGUAACAGACCCAAACCUCCCUAUAAACAGCAAUAACACAUGCAAAGAUAUAAAUGAAUGUCUGUUCAGUCCAUCUGUAUGUGGUCCAGAUUCCAACUGCACAAAUGAAAUUGGAAGUUAUAAUUGCUCAUGUCUGGAUGGAUUCACUGUAACAAACUCAAGUCUCCCCAUCAGCAUCAAUAACGCAUGUAGA
Molecule: long non-coding RNA, 417 nt
Organism: Cyprinus carpio (common carp)
Lineage: Eukaryota; Metazoa; Chordata; Actinopteri; Cypriniformes; Cyprinidae
Exons: 3
Source: RefSeq, a predicted model, not a curated record